UUAGAGUUUGAUCCUGGCUCAGGAUGAACGCUAGCGGCAGGCUUAACACAUGCAAGUCGAGGGGCAGCGCGGGUGGCAACACCUGGCGGCGACCGGCGCAAGGGUGCGUAACGCGUGAGCAAUCUGCCCGUGUCAGGGGGAUAAGCGAUGGAAACGUCGUCUAAUACCGCAUAACAGCCAUGGGGGCAUCCCCGGGGCUUGAAAGAUUCGUCGGACACGGAUGAGCUCGCGAGGCAUUAGCUAGUUGGUGAGGUAACGGCUCACCAAGGCUGCGAUGUCUAGGGGGUCUGAGAGGAUGGUCCCCCACACUGGAACUGAGACACGGUCCAGACUCCUACGGGAGGCAGCAGUGAGGAAUAUUGGACAAUGGUCGGAAGACUGAUCCAGCCAUGCCGCGUGAAGGAUUAAGGUCCUAUGGAUUGUAAACUUCUUUUGUACGGGAGCAAUAAGCGCCACGGGUGGCGCGACGAGAGUACCGUACGAAUAAGCAUCGGCUAACUCCGUGCCAGCAGCCGCGGUAAUACGGAGGAUGCGAGCGUUAUCCGGAUUUAUUGGGUUUAAAGGGUGCGUAGGCGGCUUGGUAAGUCAGCGGUGAAACGCAGGGGCUCAACCCCGGAGCUGCUUUGGAAACUGCUGAGCUAGAGUGUGGGAGAGGAAAGCGGAACUUUGAGUGUAGCGGUGAAAUGCGUAGAGAUUAGGAAGAACACCGGUGGCGAAGGCGACUUUCUGGACUGUAACUGACGCUGAGGCUCGAAAGCGUGGGGAGCGAACAGGAUUAGAUACCCUGGUAGUCCACGCCGUAAACGAUGAUGACUAACCGUCGGCGAUACACAGUCGGUGGCCAAGCGAAAGCGAUAAGUCAUCCACCUGGGGAGUACGACCGCAAGGUUGAAACUCAAAGGAAUUGACGGGGGCCCGCACAAGCGGAGGAACAUGUGGUUUAAUUCGAUGAUACGCGAGGAACCUUACCCGGGCUCGAACGGCUGGUGAAGAGAUCCAGAGAUGGUGACGUCCUUCGGGACACCAGUCGAGGUGCUGCAUGGUUGUCGUCAGCUCGUGUCGUGAGAUGUUGGCUCAAGUGCCAUAACGAGCGCAACCCUUGCUGCCAGUUACCAGCGCGUAAAGGCGGGGACUCUGGCGGGACUGCCACCGUAAGGUGUGAGGAAGGCGGGGAUGACGUCAAAUCAGCACGGCCCUUACGUCCGGGGCGACACACGUGUUACAAUGACAGCUACAGAGGGAAGCUACCUGGCGACAGGAUGCAGAUCUCGAAAAGCUGCCUCAGUUCGGACUGGAGUCUGCAACCCGACUCCACGAAGCUGGAUUCGCUAGUAAUCGCGCAUCAGCCAUGGCGCGGUGAAUACGUUCCCGGGCCUUGUACUCACCGCCCGUCAAG
Molecule: ribosomal RNA, 1396 nt
Filed under: uncultured bacterium
Lineage: Bacteria
Description: bacterial SSU rRNA
Rfam family: Bacterial small subunit ribosomal RNA
Source: RNAcentral